GUAAUGUAUAGGAAUCUACCUAGUAGUACGGAAUAAUUGUUGGAAACGGCAACUAAUACCGUAUACGCCCUACGGGGGAAAGAUUUAUCGCUAUUAGAUGAGCCUAUAUUAGAUUAGCUAGUUGGUAAGGUAAUGGCUUACCAAGGCAAUGAUCUAUAGCUGAUCUGAGAGGAUGAUCAGCCACACUGGAACUGAGAUACGGUCCAGACUCCUACGGGAGGCAGCAGUGGGGAAUAUUGGACAAUGGGCGAAAGCCUGAUCCAGCCAUGCCGCAUGAGUGAAGAAGGCCUUUGGGUUGUAAAGCUCUUUCGGUGAGGAAGAUAAUGACGGUACUCACAGAAGAAGUCCUGGCUAACUCCGUGCCAGCAGCCGCGGUAAUACGGAGAGGGCUAGCGUUAUUCGNAAUUAUUGGGCGUAAAGAGCGCGUAGGCUGGUUAGUAAGUUAAAAGUGAAAUCCCAAAGCUCAACUUUGGAAUUGCUUUUAAAACUGCUAACCUANANAUUGAA
Molecule: ribosomal RNA, 507 nt
Filed under: uncultured Wolbachia sp.
Lineage: Bacteria; Pseudomonadati; Pseudomonadota; Alphaproteobacteria; Rickettsiales; Anaplasmataceae
Description: bacterial SSU rRNA
Rfam family: Bacterial small subunit ribosomal RNA
Source: RNAcentral